RNAcentral lists this ribosomal RNA (1234 nucleotides) under metagenome. RNAcentral describes it as "SSU rRNA". It matches the Rfam family "Eukaryotic small subunit ribosomal RNA", at positions 483 to 1774 of the family's 1831-position model. The record is from RNAcentral.
AACCGGGAACCUCAUGGCUUCACGGUAUUGCAAUGAGAACAAUUUAAAACCCUUAGCGAGAAUCAAGUGGAGGACAAGUCUGGUGCCAGCACCCGCGGUAAUUCCAGCUCCACUAGCGUAUAUUAAAGUUGUUGCAGUUAAACAGCUCGUAGUUGAACCUCUGUCUGGGGCUAGUUUUGGCUUUGGUCAGGCUAGUUCUAGGCAUCCGCCUACAAGACUUAGAGGGCAUUCAGUUGUUCACUAGGAGGAGUAGGCAUUUUACUUUGAAAAAAUUAGAGUGUUUAAGGCAGGCAAUCGCCCGCAUAUAUUAGCAUGGAAUAAUAGAAUAGGACACUUUUCCAUUUCGUUGGUUAUUGGAAUCGUGUAAUGAUUAAUAGGGACAGUUGUGGGCAUUUGUAUUUAAUUGUCAGAGGUGAAAUUCUUGGAUUUAUUAAAGACAAACUAACGCGAAAGCAUUUGCCAAGGAUGUUUUCAUUAAUCAAGAACGAAAGUUAGGGGAUCAAAGACGAUCAGAUACCGUCCUAGUCUUAACUAUAAACUAUUCCGACUCAAUGUUUGACUGGCUUAUAUAACCAGUUGAGCGUUGUAUGAGAAAUCAAAGUCUUUAGGUUCUGGGGGGAGUAUGGUUGCAAAGCUGAAACUUAAAGGAAUUGACGGAAGAGCACAACCAGGAGUGGAUUCUGCGGCUUAAUUUGACUCAACACGGGGAAACUUACCAGGUUAAAACAAUAGUGGGAUUGACAGUUUGAGAGCGCUUUCUUGAUUGGUUGGGUGGUGGUGCAUGGCCGUUCUUAGUUGGUGGAGUGACUUGUCUGCUUAAUUGCGUUAACGAACGAGACCUUAACCUGCUUACUAGACUGGCGAUCAUCAAUCGUUAGCUCUUCUUAGAGGGACUUUGGUUGUUUUAACUCCAAGGAAGUUUGAGGCAAUAACAGGUCUGUGAUGCCCUUAGAUAUCCUGGGCCGCACGCGUCAUACAAUGACUAGUUCAGAAAGUUUUCUCCUGACCCGAAAGGGGAUGGGUAAUCUUGAUAAUACUAGUCGUGUUAGGGAUCGAUCUUUGCAAUUAUAGAUCUUGAACGAGGAAUUCCUAGUAAGUGCGGUUCAUCAGACCGUACUGAUUACGUCCCUGCUCUUUGUACACACCGCCCGUCGCUUCUACCGAGUGGGUGGUCCGGUGAGAUAAUUGAACUUCGCAGGUAACUGAGAGGAAAGAUUAUCAAACCUAUCCACCU